Molecule: long non-coding RNA, 623 nt
Organism: Panicum virgatum (switchgrass)
Lineage: Eukaryota; Viridiplantae; Streptophyta; Magnoliopsida; Poales; Poaceae
Exons: 4
Source: RefSeq, a predicted model, not a curated record
CAAAUAUCCCUCUACUCGCGGAGCCGGUUCCGCGCUCUCUCGUCCAACCAGGCCACUAGCUAGUCGCCGCCGGCUAUAGCCGCAGCAGGAGCUCGCCGCCGUGCCGAGCCCGAAAUCGCCGGCGCCCUACUUGCGAAGCCACGGGGCGCGCAGCAUGAGGGCGGCGGUGAGCUCACCACCUCCGCACUGCUUACCUUUGGAGCCGCCUAAUUUGCAAUGAAUUGUAUCCAUAUUCGCUGGCGUCGACACCCCGCAUCCAGUGGAUAUGGAUAUCCAGAAAUCCACUUUAUGUGUAUUCAUAUCCACUAGAAAGAACUUACUAUAAGUGUUGCUAAACUACUUCGGCUUGCACGUCAAUGUGGCAAGUUGGUGCCAGUUGGAAGCAAAUGCGGAACUUUUACGAUUCCCCCACUACCGCCACCCUCGCAAAGUGCAGAUCCAUGAGCUUUCGUUGAUGCAAGGGGAGCGGCACCCAAGGAAGAAUAAUGAAGUGAAAGAAUAACUAUGUCGCCAGCUCUCUUUUUCUAUCAUGUAUUCUGUCAUGGCAUGAUAACAAAGAACAAUAAAAUUAUUAGGGCAAAAGUUUGAUGAGGCCCAUUUAUAGCACUUCUUUCUUUAUGUAA